GAAUGCUGACAUAAGUAACGAUAAAGCGGGUGAAAAGCCCGCUCGCCGGAAGACCAAGGGUUCCUGUCCAACGUUAAUCGGGGCAGGGUGAGUCGACCCCUAAGGCGAGGCCGAAAGGCGUAGUCGAUGGGAAACGGGUUAAUAUUCCCGUACUUGGUGUUACUGCGAAGGGGGGACGGAGAAGGCUAUGUUGGCCGGGCGACGGUUGUCCCGGUUUAAGCGUGUAGGUGUGUGUUCCAGGUAAAUCCGGUUCACUUUAACACUGAGGCGUGAUGACGAGGCACUACGGUGCUGAAGCAACAAAUGCCCUGCUUCCAGGAAAAGCCUCUAAGCAUCAGGUAACAUCAAAUCGUACCCCAAACCGACACAGGUGGUCAGGUAGAGAAUACCAAGGCGCUUGAGAGAACUCGGGUGAAGGAACUAGGCAAAAUGGUGCCGUAACUUCGGGAGAAGGCACGCUGACACGUAGGUGAAGUGAUUUACUCAUGGAGCUGAAGUCAGUCGAAGAUACCAGCUGGCUGCAACUGUUUAUUAAAAACACAGCACUGUGCAAACACGAAAGUGGACGUAUACGGUGUGACGCCUGCCCGGUGCCGGAAGGUUAAUUGAUGGGGUCAGCGCAAGCGAAGCUCCUGAUCGAAGCCCCGGUAAACGGCGGCCGUAACUAUAACGGUCCUAAGGUAGCGAAAUUCCUUGUCGGGUAAGUUCCGACCUGCACGAAUGGCGUAAUGAUGGCCAGGCUGUCUCCACCCGAGACUCAGUGAAAUUGAACUCGCUGUGAAGAUGCAGUGUACCCGCGGCAAGACGGAAAGACCCCGUGAACCUUUACUAUAGCUUGACACUGAACAUUGAGCCUUGAUGUGUAGGAUAGGUGGGAGGCUUUGAAGUGUGGACGCCAGUCUGCAUGGAGCCGACCUUGAAAUACCACCCUUUAAUGUUUGAUGUUCUAACGUGGACCCGUGAUCCGGGUUGCGGACAGUGUCUGGUGGGUAGUUUGACUGGGGCGGUCUCCUCCUAAAGAGUAACGGAGGAGCACGAAGGUUGGCUAAUCCUGGUCGGACAUCAGGAGGUUAGUGCAAUGGCAUAAGCCAGCUUGACUGCGAGCGUGACGGCGCGAGCAGGUGCGAAAGCAGGUCAUAGUGAUCCGGUGGUUCUGAAUGGAAGGGCCAUCGCUCAACGGAUAAAAGGUACUCCGGGGAUAACAGGCUGAUACCGCCCAAGAGUUCAUAUCGACGGCGGUGUUUGGCACCUCGAUGUCGGCUCAUCACAUCCUGGGGCUGAAGUAGGUCCCAAGGGUAUGGCUGUUCGCCAUUUAAAGUGGUACGCGAGCUGGGUUUAGAACGUCGUGAGACAGUUCGGUCCCUAUCUGCCGUGGGCGCUGGAGAACUGAGGGGGGCUGCUCCUAGUACGAGAGGACCGGAGUGGACGCAUCACUGGUGUUCGGGUUGUCAUGCCAAUGGCACUGCCCGGUAGCUAAAUGCGGAAGAGAUAAGUGCUGAAAGCAUCUAAGCACGAAACUUGCCCCGAG
This 1528-nucleotide ribosomal RNA is filed under the name Salmonella enterica. RNAcentral describes it as "partial 23S ribosomal RNA". It matches the Rfam family "Bacterial large subunit ribosomal RNA", at positions 1292 to 2803 of the family's 2925-position model. The record is from RNAcentral. Lineage: Bacteria; Pseudomonadati; Pseudomonadota; Gammaproteobacteria; Enterobacterales; Enterobacteriaceae.